RNAcentral lists this ribosomal RNA (256 nucleotides) under uncultured bacterium. Its description in RNAcentral is "partial 16S ribosomal RNA". It matches the Rfam family "Bacterial small subunit ribosomal RNA", at positions 524 to 776 of the family's 1533-position model. The record is from RNAcentral.
UACGUAGGGUGCGGAGCGUUGUCCGGAAUUACUGGGCGUAAAAGAGCUCGUAGGCGGUUUGUCGCGUCGUCCGUGAAAACUUGGGGCUCAACCCCAGCUUGCGGGCGAUACGGGCAGACGUUGAGUACUGCAGGGGAGGACUGGAAUUCCUGGUGUAGCGGUGAAAUGCGCAGAUAUCAGGAGGAACACCCGUGGCGAAGGCGGUUCUCUGGGACGGUACUGACGCUGAGACGCGAAAGCGUGGGGAGCGAACAGG